Molecule: unclassified non-coding RNA, 724 nt
Filed under: Hevea brasiliensis (rubber tree)
Lineage: Eukaryota; Viridiplantae; Streptophyta; Magnoliopsida; Malpighiales; Euphorbiaceae
Source: RNAcentral
GCUUUUCCUUUCCUUUCCUGUUCCUUAUAAUUUUCCCUCAUUUUCUUUCCAACUUUCCACUUUCCCAAACACUACAAUUUAGUCACCUUCCCCCAUCUGAACCACCAUCAACCCACCAUAUCUGUCAUUGCCAUGUCAUAGCCAUCCAAUAUUUUCCCAAACAAGCUCUAGCCAAGCUUUGCAGCAAGAAAAGAGCCUCCUUGCAAUCCAGUAAGCUGAAACUGCAAUCUCUCUCUAUCUUAGAGAUCCUGCCUCUAUACUCCUUAAGGCACUAGCUCUUGAUCUCAUGGCUCACAAUGGAUCUACCUUGAAAGCUCUCAGGCUAAUUUUUCAUUCUCGGCCCGUUGCCUCACCUCAUCAUCGCUGCAUGUGCCUAACCUUGUUGCUUCACCAUCAUUGUCAUUUGGAUUUUUCUUUUUCUUCUUUUUCCCUAUUUACUGUUAUUGCUUUGGGGAAAUUUGCUAUGUGGAAGGUGGGUUUUGUUAAUUUGUUUGAAUAGAUUGGUUUUGAAAGAUCGAAUUCCUUCUCUGUUGGUGCUACUGUUAUUGUUGGUGCUAUUAUUGUUCUUUCUUUUUACAUUGAUUUCUAUAAUGGUGGUAUUUGGGUCAAUGAAAAUUGAAAGAGAUGGGUUGAAAAGGAAAACAGAACAGGUUAUAGAAGAGAAACUUUUAGAUAGAUAUCCAGAAAUAGUAUUUAAAGGAAUUUGGAUUGUAUUAGAGUUCUG